AUACAAAUUGAAUCAAAUAAUGUGUCCCUUUAUGUCUGUCUUCUCUUACUCAGCAUAAUGUUUUCAAGGUUAUUCCAUGUUGUAGCAUGUAUCAGUACUUUAUUCUUUUAAUGGCUGAAUAGUAUUCCAUUGUGUGUUAAUUCUUUAAAUGUUUGGUAGAAUUCACAAGUGAAGCCAUUUGUGCUUAGCUUUUUCUGUUUUCAUGGGAAGUUUUUUGAUUACUAAUUCAGUCUCUUUACUUGUUAUAGUUUUAUUUAUACUUUAUGUUUCUUCUUGAGUUACUUUCAGUAGUUUGUGUCUUUCUAAGAAUUUAUAAAUUUUGUGUAGGUUAUUUAACUCAUUGGCAAACAAUUAUUUAUAGUAGUCUCUUAUAAUCACCUUAUUUCUGUGAAGUCAAUAGUGUUAUUCCCUGUACAUUUCUGAUUUUAUCAAUUUUAGUGUUCUCUUUUUUUCUUGAUCUUCCUCUCAGAAGCUAAAGCCUUGUCCCCUAGUGGGAGGGUUUAGGGAGGGCCCUGAGGUUUCCUGCGGCAGUGGGCUCCUUUCCAGCCUUGCAUCAUGGGGGACACUUUCCCUUACCUGCUGCCCUAGCCCCUCAUCUCUUUUGUGAGCAAUCGGUGAAGUCUGCAGAAAAUACCCUGGGAGUCAGUACAAGCUCUCCUGUACCUGCAGCUUCUGCAGUCACCUAUAUGCACCAAAACUCUUAGCAGAAAUCUUCUU
Molecule: long non-coding RNA, 717 nt
Filed under: Homo sapiens (human)
Lineage: Eukaryota; Metazoa; Chordata; Mammalia; Primates; Hominidae
Description: non-protein coding lnc-ALLC-2:1
Source: RNAcentral